Molecule: ribosomal RNA, 255 nt
Filed under: uncultured bacterium
Lineage: Bacteria
Description: partial 16S ribosomal RNA
Rfam family: Bacterial small subunit ribosomal RNA
Source: RNAcentral
UACGUAGGGUGCAAGCGUUGUCCGGAAUUAUUGGGCGUAAAGAGCUCGUAGGCGGUUUGUCGCGUCUGCUGUGAAAACGCGAGGCUCAACCUCGCGCCUGCAGUGGGUACGGGCAGACUAGAGUGCGGUAGGGGAGAUUGGAAUUCCUGGUGUAGCGGUGGAAUGCGCAGAUAUCAGGAGGAACACCGAUGGGCGAAGGCAGAUCUCUGGGCCGUUACUGACGCUGAGGAGCGAAAGCGUGGGGGAGCGAACAGG